AUGACACCAAGGACGCCGAGCGAGACCUUCGCGGCGUCCAUCUCCGGGUCGGCGGACGUGAGCACUCGCACCGUGGCGUACCCGUCGGCGGCCGGAGCGGGCGUGACAAUGCGCAUCCGAACGACGUACUCGUGGAUGGCGCUGCCUUUCCCCCAGAGCGAGCUGCCAUGCGCGCCCGUGCCGAGCAUGCCGCCGACCGUCAGGCCCCACCAGUACGGCGAGUAG
This 225-nucleotide ribosomal RNA is filed under the name Triticum aestivum (bread wheat). RNAcentral's name for it is "partial small subunit ribosomal RNA". Lineage: Eukaryota; Viridiplantae; Streptophyta; Magnoliopsida; Poales; Poaceae. The record is from RNAcentral.